Molecule: ribosomal RNA, 469 nt
Filed under: uncultured bacterium
Lineage: Bacteria
Description: partial 16S ribosomal RNA
Rfam family: Bacterial small subunit ribosomal RNA
Source: RNAcentral
GACGAACGCUGGCGGCGUGCUUAACACAUGCAAGUCGAACGGAAAGGCCCUGCUUGCAGGGUGCUCGAGUGGCGAACGGGUGAGUAACACGUGGGUGAUCUGCCCCUUAUUUUGGGAUAAGCCUGGGAAACUGGGUCUAAUACUGGAUAGGACCAUGCUGUAGGUGGUGUGGUGGAAAGAUUAGUUUCGGUAAGGGAUGAGCUCGCAGCCUAUCAGCUUGUUGGUGGGGUAAUGGCCUACCAAGGCGUCGACGGGUAGCCGGCCUGAGAGGGUGGACGGCCACAUUGGGACUGAGAUACGGCCCAGACUCCUACGGGAGGCAGCAGUGGGGAAUAUUGCACAAUGGGCGCAAGCCUGAUGCAGCGACGCCGCGUGGGGGAUGACGGCCUUCGGGUUGUAAACUCCUUUCAGCCAUGACGAAGCCCUUGUGGUGACGGUAGUGGCAGAAGAAGCACCGGCUAACUACGUG